CGCAUCUGUGCAUGCAGCAUAUCAAUAAGCGGAGGAAAAGAAACUAACAAGGAUUCCCCUAGUAACGGCGAGUGAAGCGGGAAGAGCUCAAAUUUGAAAUCUUAAAGGGUUUCCCUUUACGAAUUGUAGUUUAAAGAAGUGUUUUCUGUUGAGGUUUUGGUAAAAGUUCUUUGGAAUAGGACAUCAUAGAGGGUGAGAAUCCCGUAUUUGACCUUUGCUCUCAACUUUGUGGAUACACUUUCAAAGAGUCGGAUUGUUUGGGAAUGCAGUCCAGAAGUGGGUGGUAAAUUUCAUCUAAAGCUAAAUAUUGGCGAGAGACCGAUAGCGAACAAGUACCGUGAGGGAAAGAUGAAAAGAACUUUGAAAAGAGAGUUAAACAGUACGUGAAAUUGUCAAGAGGGAAGCGUUUGACACCAGUGUUGUUUUUCUGAAAAUCAAUUAAAGAACUGUUUAUGCUAAGUUGUUUAGACUUUAUCAGCUAACUGUUUAGCUUUGAGCUUUUCUUUAAUGCACUUUUCAGUUAACAAGUCAACAUCAAUUUCUUUUGCUGUAAAAAAGCUUGAGGAAGGUGGCUUGAGAUUCGUCUUAAGUGUUUAUAGCCUCUUGCCUAUGUAGUCGGAGAGAUUGAGGUCUGCAGCGUAGAUCCUUCGGGGCUAAAUGCAUUCGUGCUAAGUUAUAGCAUUUUAUAGACAACUUGUUGACUAUGAUUUGUCUUGUAGCUUACUCGCUUAUGUUAUUUUACCUACGCUUAGGAUGUUGAAUCUGUGCGAGACUAC
RNAcentral lists this ribosomal RNA (776 nucleotides) under uncultured Neocallimastigales. Its description in RNAcentral is "partial large subunit ribosomal RNA". It matches the Rfam family "Eukaryotic large subunit ribosomal RNA", at positions 26 to 644 of the family's 3401-position model. Lineage: Eukaryota; Fungi; Neocallimastigomycota; Neocallimastigomycetes; Neocallimastigales. The record is from RNAcentral.